UACGUAGGCAGCGAGCGUUGUUCGGAAUUACUGGGCGUAAAGAGUGUGUAGGCGGUGCUCUAAGUUCGGUGUGAAAUCUCCUGGCUCAACUGGGAGGGUGCGCCGGAAACUGGAGUGCUUGAGCGUGGGAGAGGAAAGCGGAAUUCCUGGUGUAGCGGUGAAAUGCGUAGAUAUCAGGAGGAACACCUGUGGUGUAGAUGGCUUUCUGGACCAUAGCUGACGCUGAGACACGAAAGCGUGGGUAGCAAACAGG
This 253-nucleotide ribosomal RNA is filed under the name uncultured bacterium. Its description in RNAcentral is "partial 16S ribosomal RNA". It matches the Rfam family "Bacterial small subunit ribosomal RNA", at positions 524 to 776 of the family's 1533-position model. The record is from RNAcentral.